Molecule: long non-coding RNA, 2502 nt
Filed under: Ananas comosus (pineapple)
Lineage: Eukaryota; Viridiplantae; Streptophyta; Magnoliopsida; Poales; Bromeliaceae
Description: long non-coding RNA (ACOM_LNC026631)
Source: RNAcentral
CCAGGAUAAUUUAGAGCACUCACCAAUAUUAGGCAUAGGAAAAAAAAAACACUCAAACACCUAACAUAACUUCAAAACCCCACAAUGUCAUCGCAAUCAUAUCGUAAAUGUUCUCUCUCUACAUAGUUAAGAAAGAAAAUAUAGCAUUAGGAUUUGACCUGAUUUUACAGCUUCAUUGGAAAUAAUCUCAUCACUUAUGAAGCAGCAAAACUAAUCACACUCAAUAGUAUCAUGAUUCUGGGAGAAGUUCAAUCUGAUCCUUCUGCUUUUGCUGUUGUUCCCUUUUCUUCAACUCAUUCUCAUAUUUGGCUAGCCUCUCCUUCAUCUUUUCCUGCAUAAAAACUCUGCCUCAGAACAACAAAGGAAAUAUGCAAAGCGAGAAAGGAACUCAAAAGAGAGGACAUGGAUUUGCCUUGUAACUCUUCUCAACCCGGUGCAUGACAUAGAAGCCGAGGACUCCGCCAAGGAUAGUCCCGGUUAUGAUUCGAAUGUACGCCCACUUGUACGACACCAUCUCUUUCGGUCCUUCCUUUUCCUUCGAUACUAGCUACUAUCUGUGCGCAUGCAACGCAUAUUUUGGAAAAAGAAAACAGAAAUUAUUUUGGGUAAAAAUUUCUAACUUACAAAGCAAAUAUAAUUUGGAGAGAGGUUGGUGUUGGGUAAAAAAAUAUGUUUUGCAACUUAUAAUGCAAUGCCCAAGGAGGUUGGCGUUAGCUUUCACUUAUUACCUAAAUGAUUCAAGGCUUUCUUUUUAGUAUCUUGAGGUAAGAGACAAUGAUGGAUUAACUUGUAUUCAAAACACUGCAACAUUUAGAGUCCAACGAUUUCAUUAAAAAGUAAUCAAGUAUCCAGGCACCACUAUCCUCAGAUCAAAUAAGCAAAAAAACAUAAAACAAAUGACAAAUGAAACGGCACUACAAUUACUUGAUAUGCUUUUCAGUAAAUUUACCAAAUACUUUCCUUCCUUGCCACUCUCACACUAUCAUUUCUUUAAUUCGUCUUUAUGCUAUUUGCAAUUCAAAAAGUCAUAUUAUCCAAAUUGCUAAAUCCUUUCCCGAAAUUCUGAGUAAAAUUUAAUGAGAAAAGUAAAGAACAUAAAAUACAAACAAAAGUAAAGGAAGCCCCCAUCUUGUUCAGCUCAAAAACAUAGUUUUAAAAGGCGCAAAGGACUCCUGACCCUAAAUGCCGGGCAAAAUCAAGCAAGUUAGACACACAUUUUCACAGUUUUUGAAGAUAAAUAGAACACUCCUUAGAAGUUCUAGUAGUAAUCAUUGAAUGAAACUAACGCACUUUAAAAUCAGGUUAUAGCUCUAUUAAAUAUUUAAGAUCACUCAAUAAGAUUUGUGAACAAAUGUGUGGCUCAAAUCAAUGCAUAUAUCAAAGAGAGAAAAAAGACAGUUAGAGGGCACAAAAUUUGAAACUGCUUCGGAACUUCCCUUCUCCUAUGCUUUAAAAUGGCGGCAGGAACCACCAUCACCAAAUGCUUCUUUGGCGACUGUUCCCACCGCAUCGGAGGAGAGAAGCUACAAAGCGCUUCUACAACUAUUUUGGUGCAAUGAACUAGGCCUUACAUUCCCAAACUAGGCUCUAGCUUAGAAAAUUAGAAUUAUCAAGAAAAACAAUGAAAAACAUUUGUUUGGUAUCGUUGCCGUUUUUUUCUAUUUUUUAAAAAAAUAGAAUUUUUACAUGAAAUAGUACAGAAAGGGAUAGUGGAUUGCUUGCAAUUCUUACAUUCACGAUAUUUGCUCAGCAAAGAAAAAAAAAGAAAAAAAAAAAGCAACUUCUUUUUUUUCCAUGAUUUUUGUCAUCCAUUACUCGGCCGAAGUGUAUUAUUACAAGCUAACCAAUCAUGACGAAUUUUUUAUAUAGAAUUAGUGUUUCAACAAAAUAAGAUCGAAAAAAAGAGGGGGCAAUGAUGCCAAAUGAGGCCUAAAACCUAUUAAUUAUAAUUAGAGCUCAAAACAGCAGGAAUUAGACUAAAAUUUGUUCAUCUCCAACUAUGUUUAAACAAAAUUACGCAAUUAUAUUGCGCAAAAGCUAAAUAGAAUCCAAUUUACAUGAUGAGCCAAACAUUACAUUACACAAGAAAAACACAAACCCAAAACCCUAAAAACAGCAGGAGCAACUACAGAUAAGCAAAAUUGUGUACUCACAUCAUCAACACAAAAGCUAAAUAGAGUUCAAACCCAAAGAUUACAUGAGAGAAACUCAAAAUCCUAAACCCUAAUUUAUGAAUCAACCAUUAAUAAAAGGCAUGAAACUCCCUAUCUUUUUCCCUUCCAUAUUCUAUUAGAAAGGUUUAGGAGAUGAUGGAGUUGGGCAGGGUAGUCUGACCUUGCGAUGGCGACGGUGGGCGUCGGAUGGGAAGGAAGACAGCACGAUUUGCAGUCGGAUGAUCGAGCCGCCUGCCUUCCUUGUUCAGCUCGACGCAGAAGGCAGUCUCACGUUUGGCUCAAGAAAAAGAGCGAUGCCUUCCUUGUUUCACUCCAAAACUGGAAAGAC